AAAACAAAACAAAACAAAAAAACCCCAAAAAACUACCACAACACAAAACAGUUCAGUAUUCAAUAACUAUAAGUGAAGAUUACUCUUAGACAUGUUAUCAGCUUAUUUUGCUUGUAUAACCAGAUUUCAUAACUUAUAUGCUAGUCAGUAGCUUAGCUAAAAAAAUCCAUCCAACAUCCUUAUACUCUGCAAUAGAAACAAACAUAAAAUAAUAAUACAGGAAAUAAUGAGAUAAAGAUUUUACACAUCUAGAUGCAAUGUCUAGUAAUUCAGGUCUUUUCUCAUGCUAAUAAUAGAACUGCUUACAUUUAGCAGCAAAAGACAAUUGGAUGUCACAAAGUGGCAUAAUACAAACUGAGAAACUUUUAAUAUCUGUGAGAAAAAUUACAUUAUUAGCAUUCAUAGCAUAGCCUAUAAUGUACCAUAAUUCCAUUACUUAAGAGUAGCAUUUGUUUGAUCUAUUCAGUGCAAUUCUGGUUACGAAGAUCUAAUUCACAGACACAAUCUUAUUACAGCAUCUGAGACCAAUAGGACUAUUGCUGCCUUUCCUGUGCACCACAGGACUUCUGGGUACAGAUGCUGGACUCCAGCCACACUGCAGGCCACCGCCUACCUCUGCCUCUUGCCAUCCACCAACACGGAAAUGGCGGUUCCUCUGUCACUGGCCAUUUCCCUCUUCAUCUGCCACAGCGCCUCCAGCCUUACCUCUGUAUCCCAGGAUAUCCAACCAUGCAAGUGUUACGAGCGGCUGCGGGAGAGGGCAGAGAGGCAAUUUUGAAGGAAGCUAAUACACUUGAUACUUGGUGUAUCAGGAGCCCGUGCCCAGGUGUUGGCAAGAAUCUCUGUGAGGAGAGGUCAGGGCUGCCUCAUGCCUGACAUGGCUGGUUCCAACCGGUUCCAGCCAGUUCCACAGCAGCCCCACUGCAGGGCACAGCCGAGCCCAGCAUCAGCACUGGUGGAGCCUCUGUGGUAAUGGAUUGAAGAAGGGGAAAACUGCACAGCUGCCAGGAGUGAGGAAAAAAGUGUGAGAAAUGAGCCCUGCAAGCACCCGAGUCAGAGAGGGAGGAAGACCUCCGGGUGCCCGAGCAGAGACUCCCCUGCAGCCCCUGGAAAGACCAUGGUGGAGCAGAUUUUUUCCUGAAGGACUGCAGCUUGUGGAGAAGAUCCACGCUGGGGAAGGGGAGAAGUGUGAGCUAAGUUGCUUAAGCUGAGAAUAGCACACGUACUUGCUCUGUGACAAGCCAAGUGACUUGCCCCUGAAAAAAUCCAACCUGUUAAGACCACCUUGCCUCAGCAGGUGAAAGCAAUAACAUCGCCAGACAUUUGGAAGAGGGCUUGUGGUAGCCUCAGGUGAAAAGUUCCUUGCUCUUCAGAUUCUUCUUCAUUUUACUUACUAAUAAAGACAGGAUGAGUAGCUCUGUUUUUCCAGUACAAUCACUGCAAUAAAAAAAUUAAGGAAAAAAAAAAAUCCUGUGUUGGUGUACUGAGAUUUAGCUACAGACUAACUAAUAUCCCUCUGCAAAAAAAAAAAUUAACAUGUUAAGGAGUAUUUGGAAGAAGAAGGGAUUUUUAUUGUAUUACAAGAUUUUUACCUCAUAUAUAUGGAAGCAUUAUUCUGUUAAAAAAGGCCUUAUCACAAUCCUGACUGCAGGGGAGCCAUGACAGAGCUUGACAGCUCAGAUUUGUCCUAACUGCUCCUUUUAGGAUUUAAGUAGCAGUCUUCAGCCUCAGCCCCCAUCCCUACAUCUGCUUUAGCUGGAAGCGAGUAAGAACAUCUAAAAUUUACAGAUGGACCCCUUUUGGCCUCAGUACAGCUGCCAACCCUUCAAAAGCCGCUACUGUUCUGUUCCCACUGCUCCACCUCUGAGAAGGUAAACACAAUAUUUCAUGUACAUUUAAUACUAAUAUGCAAUAUUUAUUACCCUUUCUAGCUUUAAGUUCUGUUUAGCAUUUUAUCUCAAACCUCAAAUUGGCACCAAAAAAAACCCCAUACAACUGGAAAGAUUUCAGUCCCUAAACCCAUGAAAGCUGCAGUUAAAUGAGUUGGUUUACAAGAUCACAAUUAAAAGCUUAUUUGCAUUGUAUAUAAUCAACUGUCUUACACUCUAAAUUAUCUUGUCAUUACAGUGGUACAGGAACUUUUUAAGAGAUGUUAAAGGAUUUGAAGCUGCAUUAUCUCAUUACUUUUAUGCAAUCUGUCAAUAAAUCAAUGUAUUGUGUA
This is a long non-coding RNA of Aquila chrysaetos chrysaetos, 2221 nucleotides long. RefSeq lists it as uncharacterized. Lineage: Eukaryota; Metazoa; Chordata; Aves; Accipitriformes; Accipitridae. The record is from RefSeq and is a predicted model, not a curated record. The transcript has 2 exons.